This 494-nucleotide long non-coding RNA is filed under the name Olea europaea subsp. europaea. Lineage: Eukaryota; Viridiplantae; Streptophyta; Magnoliopsida; Lamiales; Oleaceae. The record is from RNAcentral.
AUCGUACAUAAGACUUUCAUCUCGUAUAACUCAAAACAAAAAAACACUAAAAUACUAGUUGCAAUGGAUAUAAUGAUGACUUUCGUUUUCACUGGUGCAACCCCUUCAAUGAUGGUAGCUGUCGUGCUCUUUUCUACAUCCGGGCACAUUUGUCACAACUGCCAAUACGAAAAUUGAUGACUAAAUUAGCCGUGCAGGUUUGGCCACAUGACACUCUCUUAAUCUUUGCUUGUAUUAUUAAAUUGGUAUGCACAAGUGUUAGAGAAAAAAUGAUAAAAAGUUUUUUGUUUUUUUGAGUUUCCGAAACAGAAACCAAUAUCUUAAGAAUUUUCGUGCACAGGACAGCCUUAUAAUCCUCUAUAUAGUAGGAAUAUUAAGUCGAGACUUUCCCUGCAGUUGCUGCCUCAAGAACAGCUUGAGCCACAACUACAGCCUGAUGACAUAUUCUUCAGAGAUGAAAACUGAAUCACGGGGAGAGAGUUUUUCAACUAAAU